RNAcentral lists this ribosomal RNA (253 nucleotides) under uncultured bacterium. RNAcentral's name for it is "partial 16S ribosomal RNA". It matches the Rfam family "Bacterial small subunit ribosomal RNA", at positions 524 to 776 of the family's 1533-position model. The record is from RNAcentral.
UACGUAGGGUGCAAGCGUUGUCCGGAAUUACUGGGCGUAAAGGGUUUGUAGGUGGCUUGUUAAGUCAGACGUGAAAUCCCUCAGCUUAACUGGGGAACUGCGUCUGAUACUGGCGAGCUUGAGUGCAGGAGAGGAACGCGGAAUUCCAGGUGUAGCGGUGAAAUGCGUAGAUAUCUGGAGGAACACCGGUGGCGAAGGCGGCGUUCUGGACUGCAACUGACACUGAGGAGCGAAAGCGUGGGGAGCGAACAGG